UGGAAGCUCAAGGGUUAUGAAACUUCCAUGAGUUAUGGGAUGACUUUUGGGCUUAUUGCUCAUUAUGAGGGUGAGUUAAUGUGUCUUAUAAUGAGAGAGUUAGUGUGUGUCUAGGUUCAUUGUAUCUAGGAGCAUAUAAAUAGUGGGGUUUGGCUAAGGUCAAAACACAUAAGAGAGAGCGUGUAUGUGAGUUGUAAUU
RNAcentral lists this long non-coding RNA (199 nucleotides) under Ananas comosus (pineapple). RNAcentral describes it as "long non-coding RNA (ACOM_LNC003021)". The record is from RNAcentral. Lineage: Eukaryota; Viridiplantae; Streptophyta; Magnoliopsida; Poales; Bromeliaceae.